Molecule: ribosomal RNA, 405 nt
Filed under: uncultured bacterium
Lineage: Bacteria
Description: partial 16S ribosomal RNA
Rfam family: Bacterial small subunit ribosomal RNA
Source: RNAcentral
GAUGAACGCUGGCGGCGUGCCUAAUACAUGCAAGUCGAGCGAAGCGGGGACGGGUGAGUAACACGUGGAUAACCUCCUAUAAGACUGUGAUAACUUCGGGAAACCGGAGCUAAACCGGUUACUUAUAGAUGGAUUCUCGCUGCAUUAGCUAUUUGGUAAGGUAACGGCUUACCAAGGCAACGAUGCAUAGCCGACCUGAGAGGGUGAUCGGCCACACGGGAACUGAGACACGGUCCAGACUCCUACGGGAGGCAGCAGGAGGGAAUCUUCCGCAAUGGGCGAAAGCCUGACGGAGCCACGCCGCGUGAGUGAUGAAGGUCUUCGGAUCGUAAAACUCUGUUAUUAGGGAAGCGGUACCUAAUCAGAAAGCCACGGCUAACUACGUGCCAGCAGCCGCGGUAAUUC